RNA transcript from Zea mays, 789 nucleotides. It is a transcript of the gene named Omega-amidase pseudogene, with no coding region annotated. NCBI's taxonomy places the organism in Eukaryota, Viridiplantae, Streptophyta, Magnoliopsida, Poales, Poaceae. The transcript is spliced from 4 exons. The record is from RefSeq and is marked validated.
GGAUCUUCUCCGAUUUCCUUUUGGGCCGUACCAAUUUGAAUUUUGAACUAGCUUGUGCGCCUCCUGGAGCCGAUGUAGCAAUGGAUACUCCAGUGUUUGGCCAUCAGCAGCCACAGUACUAGAGUAUGCAUGGGUAUAUUUUCGUAUGGGUAUGAUGGCAGGGAAGGGCAAACCUGUGAACAGGUUCCCUGUCGAUGCUGCAGAGGGCGGCAGACCUGCACGGUGCACAACUGUCAGCUGUUUGUUGCAGCAUGCGCUCCGGGUCGAGAUACCAUACCAGUGCAGGUUAUGUUGCUUGGGGAUGGGGACACACUACUCUUGUUGGACUUAUGUGAUUGCAACAACCGAGCUAGCAUGGAGAGGCAACUAUAGGGAGGUACGCAGAGUGAAACACCUUUGGUUGAACGGGGUGGCGCAAGAUCUUCUCUAGGCAAUUUCUUCCUCUGCAACACCAACGGCGUGGCGAUCCCUACCAGCUGCAAGAUGUCCCGGAGACUGGAUGGAUCCUCAGCAGCGAGCCUGGAUGCAGCUGUGAGGCUGGCUGUGACGAAGCAGGAGAGCAGUUGACUCUGCAGGCUUGCUCGUACUACCGCGUUCAUCAUGACAUGCAUGUCGAUGCCCUGUCUAGAGAUCGAUCGACCUGAUGUGUGAAGGUGGAGAGCAGGGGACGAGGGCGAGUAAAGGCGACAAUAGUACGUACCUUCACUGUGUCUCCGGUUGCCAAAUAAUAAAUAGAUUACAGUAGGAAGAACACCGCUCUACAUGAAACAAAGAUAAACGGAUUAUCUA